Molecule: long non-coding RNA, 635 nt
Filed under: Elaeis guineensis (African oil palm)
Lineage: Eukaryota; Viridiplantae; Streptophyta; Magnoliopsida; Arecales; Arecaceae
Description: long non-coding RNA (EGUI_LNC062579)
Source: RNAcentral
CUCUCUCUAGUAGAUCAGUUCCUUUUCUUUAAUGCGGAGAGCUUUUGUCUUUGCAUGGCGUAUAGGGGAGGAGGGAUCAAAGUUACCCUUUUCUUCUAUUUUUUUUUACCUGUAGUUUUUUUAUUGGGUGGAAAGGUUAUCUUUUUUUUGUUUUUGAUAAGAGGGAGAGUAAAGUGAUAGAUCUUCUGCAAUCCAAGCUAUAUGAUGAUAACUAUAAAUGGACACUAGGCCGUGCCUGGCAUGACUCGGCCCAGACCCAUGGGGCCACGAUCCAAACAGACUGUGCCUGGAUGAUAACUAUACAUGGGCACUAGGUCGUGCCUGGCAUGACCCGGCCCAAACCCAUCGAGCCACGAUCCAAACGGACCAUGCCAGGCAUGGUUCGUUUACCUCGAACCCCGAUCUGGCACGGCUCUAGGCCCAGGAUCUGGCAUGUAGGACCUGGUUUGGUACUCUCAAGGCUCAAGGGACCAAGGAAAAUGUCAAAGUUCAAAGCCCAUGAGACAUUCAUGAGAGUUCUAGGGCUAGUUUGGGCCCUAGGGUGAAAGGCUAUCAGCCUUCACAGUUUCGAGAUCCAGGAGAUUUGGGCCUUGAGGAGCUAACUUGUAUUGGGCUAGUAUUGAGUCCAAGAGAGG